Molecule: long non-coding RNA, 1231 nt
Organism: Danio aesculapii
Lineage: Eukaryota; Metazoa; Chordata; Actinopteri; Cypriniformes; Danionidae
Exons: 3
Source: RefSeq, a predicted model, not a curated record
CAGUAAAUUGAGUCUAGCGAUGCCCCUGGUCCACACUACUGUAUUUGCAUUUUUAAACAUUUGAUAAUACUAUCCCUGUUGAAGAAAAAUUAGCUUAUCUUUCUUUUUUGCAUAAGGGCUCACAUAAGAGCAGCACGAAUCUCAAAUUCACCACUCUCUCUCAGAUUUCAGAGGAGCUUCAGUAAGUUCACUGCAUCUUUUCCACAGCCUACAAUGGUCUUCUCAGUGCUUUCGAGUGUCCUUCUUUGCAUUGUGUUGCAAUCUUGUAUUCAAAGUGUGGCGAAUGAAGAGGUGGACAUUAACACCCUUUUCGAGAUUCAAAAAUAUUUUCAUCAUAGUUAUGAAAAAGGCGUGCAGUAUGCAGUAGCCAUCAAUGUCCAGAAGGAGGAGUGUCAAAUCCGUCAUGACCUAUCAAACGGCAACUAUCUGACAAACGACCACUUUCUGAUACAUGACAAGACGGAAGAUGUUAGGUGUUACAUAAAACCUGACAGUAUGGAAGUCUACCAAGGCCAUGAAGUCAUUGCUGCAGGGGUUCAUAGAGAUGCACAUUCAGAGCAUUUACUGAUGAAUCCUCCAAAUAAUUCUCCUUUGACACACUUGUUGAAUAAAUUGAAUAAUGGCUGUGUGGUUUUCUACACUUUACUCUCUCCCUGUGUAGACGGAUGUCUUAACAGUAACGUUAUACUUGCAGGUCUUCAAGAAUAACAGAAUUAUCAUGGAAUGAAAGCCUUUGUUUACACAUAUAUCUAUGAUCAAGACCAGAACAACCCAAACCUACGUAAUGAACUGAAAAAGAUUGCUCAUCGUGUGCCACUUUACCGCUGUGGCAUACAUGGUUGUAUCUCUUGUGGACAAGAUGUGAUAGAAGCUUGUUUAGUCAGUAAGGCCUGAUUAUGUAGAGUUUCUUCAGUGCUUUAACUGAUGUGUGCUUCCGCACUGGAGUUUCCGUUGCUGCAGAGACUUUUGAUGAUACAAUUCAAUGCUCUGAUGAUCAGUUUAUAUGCUGCCUUUUGCUUUUUCAUUUGUUUUUCAUUAAAUGAGUGAAUUAUUUCAGGGGAGAGUACAUCUGUCUCUUUUAUUUGAUUUAGGAAAUAUGAGGUUUCUAUAAUGAAUUCUGAUCAUUGUGUACUUUGAUCAUUUGUUUUUAAAAUGCUUGUUUGUUCAUGCUUUGGGUAAUAAUAAAUGAAUGGCUUUUGCUGCUUGCAGAAAUAAACUUAUACUCACCAUA